Molecule: ribosomal RNA, 383 nt
Filed under: uncultured eukaryote
Lineage: Eukaryota
Description: partial 18S ribosomal RNA
Rfam family: Eukaryotic small subunit ribosomal RNA
Source: RNAcentral
CAAUAGCGUAUAUUAAAGUUGUUGCAGUUAAAAAGCUCGUAGUUGGAUUUCUGGUGGGAGCGAUCGGUCUGGCGCUUAGCGCGAGUACUUGCAUCGUCUCCGGCCAUCCUUGGGGAGAGUCUGUCUGGCAUUAGGUUGUCGGGCAGAGGAUCCUCAUCGUUUACUGUGAAAAAAUUAGAGUGUUCAAAGCAGGCUUAUGCCGUUGAAUAUAUUAGCAUGGAAUAAUAAGAUAGGACUUUGGUACUAUUUUGUUGAUUUGCGCACCAAAGUAAUGAUUAAUAGGGACAGUUGGGGGUAUUCGUAUUCCGUUGUCAGAGGUGAAAUUCUUGGAUUUACGGAAGACGAACUACUGCGAAAGCAUUUACCAAGGAUGUUUUCAUUAA